CCUAACGAUCCCUAAAUAGCCUCUUGUGCGUGAGGAUUGGGGUGACAGACAAGUUACCUCCGGGACAACUGGCUUGUGGCUGCUAAGAGAUCAAAUCAACGCAGCUUUUUGAUUCUUCGAUGUCGGCUCUUCCUAUCCUAGUGAUGUACAAGUUGCUAAGGGUCGGAUUGUUCACCCGUAUUAGGGAUCGUGAGCUGGGUUUAGACCGUCGUGAGCCAGGUUUGUUUUAUCCUACUGGAUAUAGCAUCAUGAUAGUAGAUUGAUUUAGUACGAGAGGAACUGUUGAUUAUGGCCUCUGGUUAGCGAUUAUCGGAAACGGUAUGUCGCGCAGCUACGCCGUCUGGGAUAAUGGCUGAAAGCCUCUUAAGCCAGAAGCCCAUCUAGAAAGUGAUGCACGUGAUGUUGGACCGAUACGAAUAAUCAUACUCAAAAGGUCCGCUUCAUAGGUAACCCAAUGUAGAAGACAUUGUGUGAACGAAGGUACUGUAAGCAGUGGAGUGGCAUUACGUCCACGACCUGUUGAGGUUCAGCUUCGCUUCUAGGUUUCC
Molecule: non-coding RNA, 548 nt
Filed under: Trichomonas vaginalis G3
Lineage: Eukaryota; Parabasalia; Trichomonadida; Trichomonadidae
Description: Eukaryotic large subunit ribosomal RNA
Rfam family: Eukaryotic large subunit ribosomal RNA
Source: Rfam by way of RNAcentral